Poeciliopsis prolifica (blackstripe livebearer) is the source of this 591-nucleotide long non-coding RNA. RefSeq lists it as uncharacterized. The record is from RefSeq and is a predicted model, not a curated record. Lineage: Eukaryota; Metazoa; Chordata; Actinopteri; Cyprinodontiformes; Poeciliidae. The transcript has 3 exons.
CAAAUCCAGUUCUUUUCUGAACAGUCAUAGUGGGUGUGCUCAAAGACUGACGUGGAGUUUUAUUACAAUAUGCGGAGAGCUGGUGGACCACUGUGCUAAUUUGUGUUGACCAUUUAUUACAGGCGAACUGAUUCUCCGGUUCUGAUAUGGAGACGACAGGAAGUGAACAGCUGCAGGGGAUGUGAGGUCACCUCGUCUCCUUGCUCGUGGAUCUUGUCCGUCUCCUCUUGGCGCUGCUCUUCAUCCUGGUCCUGCCUCUUCUUGUCCCUGUUGGAGUCGGCUGCAUCCAGGUUGUCCUCUUUAGCCACCAGCUCAGAUUCGCCCUGCAGGAGGACAGAGGACAACGUGGACAUGAAGCGCUCAGCGGGUACCUGCAGCUGUGAAGGGGGACAGGAGUCUCUGUGUGUCCUCACACAGCCCAGCAGCUUUGUCACAGCAACGCUCACACUGCCAACAGACAGAGCCUCCACCUCAGCUUCAAGCUCCGCCUCCAAGAGCCGGGUCAGGUGACCAGGCUUCAGCAGGUCCUCCACAGGCUGCUCCUCCUCCUCAGCUCCACCUGAGCCACAAACAAGAAAAAAGACAGAUUUA